RNAcentral lists this non-coding RNA (21 nucleotides) under Caenorhabditis elegans. The record is from RNAcentral. Lineage: Eukaryota; Metazoa; Nematoda; Chromadorea; Rhabditida; Rhabditidae.
UGGGGUCAUCUUACUUUGAAG